RNAcentral lists this non-coding RNA (24 nucleotides) under Arabidopsis thaliana (thale cress). Lineage: Eukaryota; Viridiplantae; Streptophyta; Magnoliopsida; Brassicales; Brassicaceae. The record is from RNAcentral.
GGACUUAUUUACAGUGGCUGCCAC